RNAcentral lists this ribosomal RNA (285 nucleotides) under uncultured bacterium. Its description in RNAcentral is "partial 16S ribosomal RNA". It matches the Rfam family "Bacterial small subunit ribosomal RNA", at positions 32 to 297 of the family's 1533-position model. The record is from RNAcentral.
AAUCAACGCUGGCGGCGUGCCUAACACAUGCAAGUCGAACGCGAAAGUCCCGCAAGGGAUAAGUAGAGUGGCAAACGGGUGAGUAACGCGUGGGUGACCUGCCUUCGAGCGGGGGAGUAACGUUCCGAAGGGACGCUAAUACCGCAUAACAUCCCGCCUUUAAGUAGGUGGAGAUCAAAGCUGGGGAGUCGCAAGACCUAGCACUUGAAGAGGGGCCCGGCCGUCUGAUUAGCUAGUUGGUGAGGUAACGGCUCACCAAGGCGACGAUCAGUAUCCGGCCUGAGA